GCCGAAUUGACCAGGGCAACCGGGGCUUCUGAAUCCAGAAGAGGGUCUUUGGAGCCUUUGGUCGGGGUUCGAAUCCCUGCUCGGCA
This 86-nucleotide transfer RNA is filed under the name Dehalococcoidia bacterium. RNAcentral describes it as "tRNA-Gln". The record is from RNAcentral. Lineage: Bacteria; Bacillati; Chloroflexota; Dehalococcoidia.